This is a long non-coding RNA of Lactuca sativa (garden lettuce), 551 nucleotides long. RefSeq lists it as uncharacterized. The record is from RefSeq and is a predicted model, not a curated record. NCBI's taxonomy places the organism in Eukaryota, Viridiplantae, Streptophyta, Magnoliopsida, Asterales, Asteraceae.
UCUCCUCACUAUACUGACAGGGUCUACGACAUUAGGUCGGUCCCUCCGAGUUGAUAUAUGGGUAGCUAUUGAUAUGUCGAGUUGAGUUAGUGAUGUAUGCCAGUUGAUAUGCUAGUUUGGUAGAUCUGUAGGACUACCUGUGAUACUGAUUGAUUACCUGUUUGUGCAUUUAUCUGUUACAUGUCGGCAUGUUAUGUGGGAUGGGUUGAGGUGGUACUGCUCCGUGCAGUAGCCAACAAACCCUAGAGUAUUCCAGAUAUGAACCGAGGGCCCGGUAGGCAUUCCAGACUCAUACUGAGGACACGAGAGCAUUCCAGAUACGAUCUGAGGGCCCAGUAGGCAUUCCAGGCUCGUACUGAGGGCUCGGUGGCAAUCCAAAUGUGAUCUGAGGGCCCGGUACAUUAGAUGAUCGUAGGAAGGCAAAGGCGUGAUUGUACAACUCCUCACCUUUUAUGACUAUGGUGGGAUACUCUGAUAUAGAAUUGUCUUGAAAACAAAUUGGUAAUAACUUUUGGUUUCUAAAUGUUUUAAAAAGUUUAAAUUUGGCCUUA